GAUGAACGCUAGCUACAGGCUUAACACAUGCAAGUCGAGGGGUAACAAGAGAAAAGCUUGCUUUUCUUGUUGACGACCGGCGCACGGGUGAGUAACGCGUAUCCAACCUGCCUAUAACUAGGGAAUAACCUUGCGAAAGUAAGACUAAUACCCUAUGAUUUCCUUUGAUGACAUCAGAUUAGGAAUAAAGAUUUAUCGGCUAUAGAUGGGGAUGCGUCUGAUUAGCUUGUUGGCGGGGUAACGGCCCACCAAGGCAACGAUCAGUAGGGGUUCUCAGAGGAAGGUCCCCCACAUUGGAACUGAGACGCGGUCCACACGCCUACGGGAGGCAGCAGUGAGGAAUAUUGGUCAAUGGGCGGAAGCCUGAACCAGCCAAGUAGCGUGCAGGAUGACGGCCCUAUGGGUUGUAAACUGCUUUUAUACAGGAAUAAAGUUAGCCACGUGUGGUUAGUUGUAGGUACUGUAUGAAUAAGGACCGGCUAAUUCCGUGCCAGCCGCCGCGGUAA
Molecule: ribosomal RNA, 506 nt
Filed under: uncultured bacterium
Lineage: Bacteria
Description: partial 16S ribosomal RNA
Rfam family: Bacterial small subunit ribosomal RNA
Source: RNAcentral